UACGGAGGAUCCGAAGCGUUAUCCGGAAUCACUGGGCGUAAAGGGCGCGUAGGCGGCCUGGCAAGUCGAUGGUGAAAGCCCGAGGCUCAACUUCGGGUCGGCCACUGAUACUGCUAGGGCUUGAGUCGACUAGAGGCAGAUGGAAUUCCGGGUGUAGCGGUGGAAUGCGUAGAGAUCCGGAAGAACACCGGUGGCGAAGGCGGUCUGCUGGGGUCGGAACUGACGCUGAGGCGCGACAGCGGUGGG
RNAcentral lists this ribosomal RNA (246 nucleotides) under uncultured bacterium. RNAcentral's name for it is "partial 16S ribosomal RNA". It matches the Rfam family "Bacterial small subunit ribosomal RNA", at positions 524 to 766 of the family's 1533-position model. The record is from RNAcentral.